RNAcentral lists this transfer RNA (70 nucleotides) under Camelus bactrianus (Bactrian camel). It matches the Rfam family "tRNA". From Rfam's summary of the family: Transfer RNA (tRNA) molecules are approximately 80 nucleotides in length. Their secondary structure includes four short double-helical elements and three loops (D, anti-codon, and T loops). Lineage: Eukaryota; Metazoa; Chordata; Mammalia; Artiodactyla; Camelidae. RNAcentral also lists the same sequence under 2 other names. The record is from Rfam by way of RNAcentral.
GGGGAUAGCUCAGUGGUAGAGCACAUGCCUAGCAUGCAUGAGGUCCUGGGUUCAAUCCCCAGCAUCUCCA